RNAcentral lists this small RNA (970 nucleotides) under Theobroma cacao (cacao). RNAcentral describes it as "sRNA Tc05v2_g009990". Lineage: Eukaryota; Viridiplantae; Streptophyta; Magnoliopsida; Malvales; Malvaceae. The record is from RNAcentral.
AAAAUAGAGAAAAGAAGUGACCUUGGGCAACCCGCCCAUGUUUGAGAAAAUUGAGAGAUGAAAGCCUUUCCAAGGCUUUUGCCUUAAGAGAUCCACCCCAUUUGGAAGAGAAAUGAAGGGAAAAUAGCUUUGUGAGGCUUCCACCCCAGAGGAGAGAAAGAGUUGAGUGAAAAGGCAAACUAAGUGAGGGCUUGGUUUUGUGAGAUUUUAGAGCACCUGUGAGCUUAUUCUUGUUAUUUUCCUAUCAUCAAGCUUCAUUGCUCCUAGAAAUUCAUCCUUUAUUAAGAGAUAUGGGUUAGAUCUCAUGGUAGCUAAGAAAUAUCAAGGAAAAGGACUAGAAACCGUAAGGAAGAAAGUGUGAAUGAUUCACAGGUUCAAGGAAAGUUUAGGUAAGUGAAGUUGAGUUUGAUCUAUGAAUUUCUUAAUGAAUUGAAUGGUGAUUGUGUGAAAAUGUUUGUGGUAGCAAAAAGAACACCAUGUGGGUGCCAAGAAACCCAUGCAUGUUGGUGACUCCAAGCUAAGGAAGAAUCUUCAAGGAUUCAAGAACCGGAUGCAUGCAUGUAGGUGGAUCUUGGAAUGCAUGGUGAUUUUGAGCUAGAUAAGUAUUGGGAAGUGUGUAAGUGAGGAAAGUUUGCCGUGGUGGUGUACCGGAGGAGAUAACGGGUGACCGACAAGUAGAAUUAGCUAAAUAUGCACCCGAAUCGAUAACGACGUAGUGUCCCGCUAUUAUAAGAGAAGUGAUCAGCUAGCGUGCUUUUUAUAGGCAUAUUAUGGUCCACUGCGAUGUAGGCUAAGGCAUCUCCUAGUACCCUAUUUCGAGUCGCUUCGCUGUUAGAGGUCAGGUCAUUUAUAGUAUAUUUUGUUUUGGAAGUAAACAUUUGUGUAGAAUGUAAACAUAUAUUUAUAUGAUGAUAAAACAUAAUGUAUAGAGAGAAUAUUUGCUAUUAAUGAAAUUGUGAUGAUUAUGAGA